UGAAGGGAAAUCUCAACCUCACCAUCACUGCAGCUGAUGACAGUAAGAGAAACACGUACACGUGUUGGUGUGGUGACAGAGGCGUUGCUGAUGUGCGUCUCAGUAUCGAGCCGUUGACAUCAUCAGAUCAGAUAAACACUGGUGAAGAUCUGAAGCUGGAUUUGCACGUGUCAGAGGGAGUGAAGGUGAUCUACAAGGGUAAAGAGAUCUGCAGAGUGGAUAAAAGCUCCCUACACUGUACAGAAGAAUACAGACCGAGAACAUCACUCUCUAACACAGUUCUUACACUGAGAGGAGUAAAGUCCACUGAUGGUGGUGUUUACAUCGUCCGAUACACGGAGAAUUAUGAAGAUCUUCAUAUGUACCCAGUAUCAGUGAGAGACGAGACACUCACUACACGGGCUGAUGGAGUUUCCUCAGGAGCCUUCUGUGAUGAUCAAAUCUCCAGCAUUUUAUACCUUCCACUGUCACCAUGUCACAGUCUGACACGUUCAGGCUCUGUUCUUUAUACAAUUAGUUCCUGUUAAUAAGAAUCCGUUUCCCCAUUAUAUCUUUGUCUGCUUUCCAUGUCGCAGUACAUUUAUUAGGUUUAUGUUAUUAUACCUGAGCAGGAAGCUGUGAAGUCUGAUUUUAUUUCACAUGAAUGGAUUUAAACCUUCUCUAUUUACCGUGACAGAAAGUGAGAGCGCCCCCUGGGGGUGGGAGGAUGUGGAGAAGGGGGUGAGGCUUCCUGACAGGGUCGGGAAGAGAAUCUAAGAAUCAGAGAAUAGAAAAUAUUAUUAUAAAUCAUUCCAGAUUCACAAAUAAAUUAUUUUCAAAUAUAAAUGAAAAUAUUUAAAAACCUAUUUAAACACGAUUAAAGAAAAAACAGUGUACACUGAAGUAGGGCUGCACAAUUAUGGCCAAAAUGAUAAUCCCAAUAAUUUUGAUCAAUAUUGAGAUCUCGAUUAUUUAUCACGAUUAUUCAUUGAUUUUAGGGACAACAUAUUUUUACUGCACUUUCACAUUUAAAUAAACAGACCGCUGCUUUCACCUCCAUGUGCUACAUUCCUGCUAAUGUACAAAUCUUUAACAGUGUUCCCAGGAGGAGAGAUGCAAGACAAUUUCUUUUGGAGCAAUUGUGCUCCUAAUUACAAAAAUUUAGGAGCACAGUUGAAGUUUAGGGAUUUUUUUUGGCUGUUUUUUUAUUUUUAUUUUUAAAUUUUUUUUUAGAGAUGCUAAUGUUAAUGUGCCAGGAUUUUUACGACCGAAACCGAUCCAGAUACCAAUCUUUUUUUGUUUAAGCUUAAAUCAGGAGGUCUGUCAUAAACAGUUAAAUGUAAGCUCUCUGCUCAUGGUCACUGUUAAUUGAAUUAAAAUAAUAGCAAUGAGAAAUACUGUUGGUUAAUUCUAAGGAAAUAGGUUACUAAGAUUAAUGUCAAAUUGAUAUUAAAUGCAAUCCAUAGUAAUUAAACAUCAUUUAAUUUCUCAUUUUAUUUACAUUUUAUGAAGUUAUUAUAAUAUCUAUUUUUAUAUUAAAUGAGUUAUUUAUAACUAAGCACAUUUUCUGUCUUUACAUUUUAGUAGUUUUAUGUUUUUGUUUAUCAGUUUUAGAUCGGUUCCCCCAGUACAGUGUUGCCAUGUCUGUUGAUAAUAUUUUGUUUUGUGGAUUAAAUCAAAACAUGGAAACUGGAGCUGACUUUUCUAGUGAUAUCUGGCAACCGUGAGUUUAAAUGAAGUGAAUUAGAAUUAGUGAAGGAGAGCAGCAGUGUACUGUAUGUUUACAGACUGAACAGUUCUACUCUUGAUUAUGAUUGGUGAGGAAUUAUUUAAUAAAGAAGAUUGAAUUAAACCCACCUUGUAGCGUUAGCAUUAUUAUCAUUUACUCCGCGCGAAGCCGCUAUGUCUACACGAGCAGGUGCAGGUUCAGGUUCAGGUCAUUUUGCAGGAUCAAUAAAAGAUGGCAGUUUGUGAGAUUGGGAUGUUGAGAGAAGCAGAUGAUGUACAGAGUUACUCUUGUCAUCAUAAUGACUUCUCCGCAGUAUUUCCACACUUUUUCGGUUGACUGAGGAGAUGAAAAGCAGUGUGAAAGUAACUGUUGCGUGGGGUAGAUGCAUUUUGGACUUGCUGUAGCGUUUAUUCCCAUUGUAUUAUACAAUUCCGAACAGGUGACUCGAACAAAUAUUUAUUCACAGUCACACAAAGUACUUUUCAAUUGCAAAUGCAAGUGAAAUGGUCACACUGUAGAGCCCUGAGUUUAUCUGCAAAGUUUUUUUUCCUGUUUGGCAUGAUGACGUUUAAUUUCCCCGACAUCCUCUGUAGUGCAAUUUAGCAUGACAUCAAAUGACAGGAAGUGAUUAAAGGGCUCAAGACGUCGAAAUGAUGACAGUACAGUUCUGUUAUUUAACCUUCAGUAUAGUCUUAUCAUGAUUUACUGAUAAUAACACCUGUAACAAACAUGGAGAACACUCACGUGUGUGUGUGUGUGUGUGUGUGUGUGUGUGUGUGGAGACAGAUGAUAAGAGUGCUGUACCAUGGUGGGUGAUCUUCCUGAUAGUGGUGGUGAUGCUGGUUGUUGAACUGGUUCUGAAAAUCCUGUACCAGUGGAAACUAAUUACGUCCUUACGAAGGGAGUCUAGGUGCAGUGGUGGAGAAAGGAGACAUCAGCGCUCGAAUGGCUCCAUACCAAUGAAUAACCUGUCAGAGGAGGAAACGAGGUUGAGACAGGAGGAGAAUCGAGCUCAAACAUAAGACAGGAGGAACAGAGUGAAGAGAUCUUAUAACUACAUACAGCAUGAUGGUGGAGCAAGGAGAAAGAUGAACUCAAAUGGCAGCACAGGAAUAAAUGACUUGAAUCUGGAUCUGGAGAUUUCUCCAUCCCUUUGUGCUUCACAACACUAAAAGAACAUGACCUGACUACAGAAUCUGCUCAAGUCCUCAUACAGGUUAUCAGUUCAAGACCUGACUACUGCAGCUCUUUUUAAAUCCCUUUAUCUAUUACAUAUCUUCAUCAGAUCAUUCCGUAGGCUGCUCCUGUCAUAUAUGACUCUCAUUUGGAGAUAAUUUCACUGAGCACCACAUCAUGGUCCAACUCAGGUCUUCAAAAUCAUGGAAUAUGGUAUGUCCUUCUCUAGGAUCUGCUUCACUCCUGGUUCCUCAGCAGUGUGAUAGUGGAUGUGGAAGCCUAAGAACAGAACCUGUUCAUAAGGCAUUUAGGUCACGUGUAUCUCUCUGUACUGACAGUUAUUAUUCUCAGGUGCUAUGUUUAAUGAUGGGAUAUACAGUCAGAAGAACUGCAGUGAUGCUUUGCUGUAAAGUGAUAGAUGGAGACCAACCAUGCCAACAACAUAAAUAAAUGCCCCCACAGCAUCACAGAGACACUAUCACUGUAGGGGUCAAGUUUUCAGGUCUGUAGCAUUUUCUUGAUGUAGCCACCAACGGACUCGCCCACUUGUGGAGAACAUGGUGAAGGACAAUUAAUCUGACCAGAACAUGGAUUUCUACGUCUCUUCAGGAGGCCAGUCUGUGGGGUUUUAUUUUGUUACAUUUGAUCAGACAUCUGAUCAGACCCUGCACCGACAUCCUUACUGACGGUGAAUAACAGCUGUUCUGUUUUGGAUCUAGAACCAUGUUUUAACUCUUAUGGUGAGACAUUUAUUUUUAAACAGGAAAAUGGUUGAAAAGGGAAUAAUCUUGGAGAACACACUCUAAAUGUUGCUCUGUAGAAGAGCAUGUGACAAAUGCCAUAACUGUAAACGUAAGCUCCACAGCCAAAAACACAACAAUCAGUGCAUUUACAUGGACAAAAAUAAUCCGCUAUUAACCCAAUUAAGAGAACACUGUGAUUAAGAAACUACCAUGUAAACAGCAAUUUUUAAUUACCUUAAUCUGAUUAAGGUCAUACUCGAAGUAAACACAAAUCGAAUUAAGACGUGGAGUAUUCCUGUUUUAGUCGCAUUAUGGACGUGUAUUACAAACAUGUAAACACCUUAAUCACAUUAUGAACGUCGUGUGAGAGUUUUCACCGCAUUUUGUGACAGGAUACGAUCACACACAGUGCUCAACCGUUUAACGGCGAACAAGAGAGUUCGGCUGUGUCCCAAACCGCAAUCUUGCCUACUAUAGGCCUGUAGUGGGGAAAAAUACAUGUAUCUCGGCUACUAUAUAGACGGUCAGUACACGGUUUGGGACGCAGCCCAUGGCUUCAAGCAGUUGUCUAUUUGCACGUACAGCAUGACAAAUAAUUAACUGCACUUAAAGUGUCCGUAAAUUUUUUUUAUAAAAACACCCAAAACUGUAUACAGUACCAUAACGAAGAUGGACUGUAUGUAAAUACGUGAAAUUCUGGACGGACGUCAGACGGCGUGGCGCGGUGACGUAAUGAUGCGGGCUGUUAAUCUAAUUAUUUUCUAUAACAUGUAAAACGGGAACAUGACAGGAGUAUUCUAAAAGUGACUCAUGUAAACACCUUAAUCACAUUAUUAUCUUAAUCAGAGUAAGGUCAAUAAUUAUAUUACUGCUGUCCAUGUAAACGCAGUCAAUGUUUACUUCUAAUGAGCUGCUACUGUACAGCAACACACACCCCUGGGGGCGGGACAAAUAUGUUCUAGAGAGCAUUUUAUUUUGUGAACACAAGACUAUUCGUACAGGAUGGGUUUUGCCAGAAGUGAAGAGCUAUCGAAUUGAAAGAAGGGAGAGAAGGGAAUAUAACAUUUACAAAGCUUUAAAAUAAAAUUUUGUUAUAUAGUUGUCCGUAAAACAGCCAUACAGGUAAUAAAAAAGCUCUGAGUCCGCACCCCCCCCCCCCCCCAUUUAGCACAAAUGCUCAAGCAGCACACUACUGUUUUUUUUUUGUUUGUUUGUUUGUUUGUUUUUUUUAACCACUGAUCUAAACACAGAUGUCACUUUAGUCACUGUUCUUAUUGGAACACAGCUGGCUGAUUGAAGCAGCUGCUUUUGGCCCCAAUUAUUAACGACACUAUUAUAAUUGGUAGGACUUCGUCUUAGGAUUUCUUCAUCUUACUUUUGCCAUAGAACAAAUCCUGUGGUCCAAAUCAUAAGUCAUAGAGACAUGAAAUUUGGUCAAUAGAUAGUACCCCCUCCUGCUAUCCCCUCCCACUACUUUGGGCAUAUUUAUAGAAAGGGGCGGAGCUAAGAUCAGAUAACCGUUUUUCAGGAACUGUAAGUCUGAUCGAGCUGAAAUAUGGUACUGUGCAUCUAUGUGCUAAUCUGUACAUGGAUUUUUGCUGAUGGCUUAAUUACUUAAAAAAACAUGGCUUCCAGUUAGCUUUUACACUGUUAACAAUGAACCGUGAGGUUAACAAUCAAAAAAUUGGUAGCAUUUCACUGAAUGUGUGGCCAAGUGGAGAUCAACUUUGUAAAAAAUAAUAAUAAUAAUUUUUUGUUCUUUUCUUAAAAAGCACUUUUUUAAAGAGGAUUUUUUUUCUUUUUCAGUCAAAACAUUUGCCUUUGUUUUAUAUAUAUAUAUAUAUUUUUUUUUACUAUUUUCUGAUGAAAUUUUCAGAGGCAUCCCUCAUAUGUGUCUAAUGUAGCUAAGUUAAUCACAAAGUGAUAAGUUUGAUUUCACAUGAACAAUCUCAAAACAUUUUCCAUGUUUCCUUCUGGAUGUUCGAGCUGAGAUGAGAGAUGGGGGAAGGUCUUUCAGGGGAUCACUUAAAAUAUCAGAUAGUUCAAAACACCAACUGUCAGUCAUUCCAGGUCGUAUAGGACAGUCACACAUCUGCAAAGACUAACUGUCAGUCAUUAUAGGUAGUAUAUUGCAGUCAUACACCUGCAAAGACUAACUCAGUCACACAGGUGGGAAAAAGUGUCCAGUUCAGUUCUAUAUACAAUCCCUUCUGAAAUGAUUGGAACAGCAAAAACCAUUCACUUUUUUCACUAUACACUGAAGACUUUUGGGUUUGAGAUCAAAAGAUGAAUGAGAUGAUGGGUCAGAAUUUCCUGAUAUUUACAUCUGGUAUUACAUCUGAUAUUUACAUCUGAUGUGAAAUAGCUAAAUAUAGCUAUCGCAGGUUUCACCAGCAACACCUUAUGACCUAGCUGCCUUAUUGUGUGUGUACUGUGACUGUAAAUAAAUGUUUGUCCCGUAUUUCCCCUGAGCACUGCAUGCUGAGGCUCUCAACACACACAACAGCUCGCAGUGCUACGGUGUAAACUUCUGUUUUGUCUGUUUGUUUACGUUUUUUGUAUUGAGUCAUGUUUUGUCUCCCUAAUGUGUCAGUUUGCCCCUUGAUUAGUUUGUGUAUUUAUACCCGUGUGUGUUUGUUUGGGGUGGAGUAAUGAUCAGUGUUCCUGUGCCUUACUUUAUGGGUUUUUGUUUGCAAAUUAGUCAGUGAUAAUGUUUAUUUCAGUUUUCUAAUUUAUGCACUUUUCCUAAAUUUAAAAAAUAUUGUUUUAUAUAUACAAGUUGUUCAAUAAAAAAACACUGCUGUGGAUAAAA
Long non-coding RNA from Ictalurus furcatus (blue catfish), 6439 nucleotides. RefSeq lists it as uncharacterized. The transcript has 4 exons. NCBI's taxonomy places the organism in Eukaryota, Metazoa, Chordata, Actinopteri, Siluriformes, Ictaluridae. The record is from RefSeq and is a predicted model, not a curated record.